Molecule: unclassified non-coding RNA, 328 nt
Filed under: soil metagenome
Description: partial contains 5.8S ribosomal RNA, internal transcribed spacer 2, and large subunit ribosomal RNA
Rfam family: 5.8S ribosomal RNA (bases 1-120)
Source: RNAcentral
GAUGAAGAACGUAGCGAAAUGCGAUAAGUAAUGUGAAUUGCAGAAUUCAGUGAAUCAUCGAAUCUUUGAACGCACAUUGCGCCCCUUGGUAUUCCGAGGGGCAUGCCUGUUCGAGCGUCAUUAUAACCCCUCAAGCUCAGCUUGGUGUUGGGGCCUGCUGCACUGGCAGCCCUUAAAAUCAGUGGCGGCGCCAUCUGGCUCUAAGCGUAGUAAUUCUUCUCGCUAUGGAGUCCUGGUGGAUGCUUGCCAUCAACCCCCAAUUUUUCUAUGGUUGACCUCGGAUCAGGUAGGGAUACCCGCUGAACUUAAGCAUAUCAUAACCGGAGGA